UUGUAGCCUCGAUUGAAGUGAAAAUCCUUUAAUAGCGGGGUUCGCUAUUAAAGAUUGUAACGAAAAGAGAGUUGUAUA
Small RNA from Flavobacterium branchiophilum FL-15, 78 nucleotides. It matches the Rfam family "Flavo-1 RNA". NCBI's taxonomy places the organism in Bacteria, Pseudomonadati, Bacteroidota, Flavobacteriia, Flavobacteriales, Flavobacteriaceae. The record is from Rfam.